GACGAACGCUGGCGGCGUGCCUAACACAUGCAAGUCGAACGGAGCAGAUCCCUUCGGGGGUUUGCUUAGUGGCGAACGGGUGAGUAACGCGUGAGGAACCUCCCUUUCAGUGGGGGACAACAGUUGGAAACGACUGCUAAUACCGCAUAAGCCCACGGUGCCGCAUGGCACAGCGGGAAAAGGAUUUAUUCGCUUCAGGAUGGACUCGCGUCCAAUUAGCUAGUUGGUGAGGUAACGGCCCACCAAGGCGACGAUUGGUAGCCGGACUGAGAGGUUGAACGGCCACAUUGGGACUGAGACACGGCCCAG
RNAcentral lists this ribosomal RNA (309 nucleotides) under uncultured bacterium. RNAcentral's name for it is "bacterial SSU rRNA". It matches the Rfam family "Bacterial small subunit ribosomal RNA", at positions 28 to 334 of the family's 1533-position model. The record is from RNAcentral.